GCUGGUCCCAUGUGAUUCUUCUUCUCUGUGAUUUCAACAUGGAAGAGUAAUGUGGUAGUUUCAUACGUCCCUAGAUUCCAUCACAUCCCUUCUGGAAGGCAUUGUUGGCAACUAUUGCGAUGCGUAUCUUAAAGGAGUUCUAAAUAGUUCAUCAUAGUUUGGCAGAUGCUAGAUUAGGGAUGGCAAAGGUACGGAUCAGGAGGUGAAAAUCGU
This 213-nucleotide unclassified non-coding RNA is filed under the name Hevea brasiliensis (rubber tree). The record is from RNAcentral. Lineage: Eukaryota; Viridiplantae; Streptophyta; Magnoliopsida; Malpighiales; Euphorbiaceae.